This 793-nucleotide ribosomal RNA is filed under the name uncultured archaeon. RNAcentral's name for it is "bacterial SSU rRNA". It matches the Rfam family "Archaeal small subunit ribosomal RNA", at positions 85 to 879 of the family's 1478-position model. The record is from RNAcentral.
ACUGCUCAGUAACACGUGGACAACCUGCCCUUAGGUUGGGUAUAAACCCGGGAAACUGGGUAUAAUACCCGAUAGGUCUCGAUUGCUGGAAUGCAUCGAGAUUUAAAGCUCCGGCGCCUAAGGAUGGGUCUGCGGCCUAUCAGGUAGUAGUGGGUGUAGCGUACCUACUAGCCUACGACGGGUACGGGUUGUGAGAGCAAGAGCCCGGAGAUGGAUUCUGAGACACGAAUCCAGGCCCUACGGGGUGCAGCAGGCGCGAAAACUUUACAAUGCUGGCAACAGCGAUAAGGGAACCUCGAGUGCCAGGUCACAAAUCUGGCUGUCGAGAUGCCUAAAAAGCAUUUCAUAGCAAGGGCCGGGCAAGACCGGUGCCAGCCGCCGCGGUAACACCGGCGGCUCGAGUGGUAACCGUUAUUAUUGGGUCUAAAGGGUCUGUAGCCGGCCGGAUAAGUCUCUUGAGAAAUCUGGCAGCUUAACUGUCAGGCUUUCAGGAGAUACUGUCUGGCUCGAGGCCGGGAGAGGUGAGAGGUACUUCAGGGGUAGGGGUGAAAUCUUGUAAUCCUUGAAGGACCACCAGUGGCGAAGGCGUCUCACCAGAACGGACCUGACGGCAAGGGACGAAAGCUAGGGGCACGAACCGGAUUAGAUACCCGGGUAGUCCUAGCCGUAAACGAUACUCGCUAGGUGUCGGCCACGGUGCGACCGUUGUCGGUGCCGUAGGGAAGCCGUGAAGCGAGCCACCUGGGAAGUACGGCCGCAAGGCUGAAACUUAAAGGAAUUGGCGGGGGAGCAC